GGAGGGAAGGGGGGGGGGAUUGCGGAGAAAUCAAAAGGAACCACUUCCGGUCCCUUUCCCCAGCCCUAGCGCCUGCCAGUUGUUCAAAAAAAAAGUCAGACGUAGAAACGGUUGAAAAGCGCGGGGUCUUUAAUAAUCAUUCCUCAGUCCCAUAACUUUUAUUUAAUAACAAAGGAAGUUUUGAUGAUGGGGGAGUAUUAAAAAUACAUCAAAUCAGGCGCGUCUUUUGCCACCUAAAAGAUCGAGCCCCCGACCGGUUGGAACCGGUUUGUUCCGGUCCUGUUUUGAAAAAAAAAACCGUUAUAGAGCGUUUCCUUGGGUAUUUUCUUUCGUGAUUCUCUCACGGUGUGUAUUUUUUUUAUUAAGUGCAGGUGAAUAUUUAUUAUUUUGACCCUCCUUCUCCCUCUUCAUCCCGCCUCCGGUAGAAAAGGCCGUUUUAAACGGGAAACGCCGAAGAAUGUUCGAGAAGCCGCCAUAUGGCGGUGCCGCUGCGAUGACGUCAUUGGUUCAACUCGCAGAACUUUCCAGAAGGUGGAGGCCGCGCGGGAGAGUUUACGGUGGGGUGGGGGCAAAGGGAUCAAAAGCCUUCCCUUACCCACAUCUAUUGACCAUUCUUCUGUGGUUUGAGUAAACGUUCCACCCAGAGUGGUGCAGCACAGAAUGAGGCCAUUCAGCCCAUGGGAGAGGGGUAGUGCUGGCCCUUUAGAAUUGCCAUCUUGUUUUAGCAGACUUCUAUCGAGGAAUAUUGGAGAGCAGGGCCCAGUAAGCCAGUUCUGGCUGACGACUGAGUUAAUGCACUGUUCUAUUAACUCAGGAAAGUAGGCUGUGGAAACUGUCAAGAUCAGAGAGGGAUAAAGCCUGAUACGUUGCCUGCAGAUCAUCCAGCUUUGGAAAAACAACUGAUACCAGACACCUGAAUUUACAAAGGGACUGCAUCUGAAUGAGACAAUAGGUUUUGUGUAACGAAGUAGAGAGAGAAGAAAUGAACUGAUAACCACAGUACGCUGGAAGUCUCCCCGUGUCUCCCUCUGGAAGUCACUGCCUCAUGAAAAAGCAACUUGAAAAAUAAUCAUUUACUGAAAACAAAAGGGAUAUCGGUGAACUUAGCCAUUGAUGAAGAAUCAAGACAACAGCUAAACACUCAGGAUUCAAGUCAUACUCACAAUCCAAUUGUUCUACAAACUUGAAACUGCAAUUGCCUUUCCAUCUAUGCUAAGUACUAUCCUUUUUAAGCAUAAUACUUGUAUUUGUGUAUGUGUGUGCAUUUGAUGUCAAGUUUUUAUGAUGUUUCAAGGUGAGUAGGUAAAAUUCCUAUUUGUUUCACUCAAGAAAACCUUGUAAUUAGUCUGUUUCAUUUUGAUCUAGAUUAUUACAUUUUAUUUAAAGUGUGAUAACUGCAUGUUAAACAAGAAAUUAAAACUAUUUGUUGCAAUUGACUGAGGGGGAAGUUCAAAAAAGGGGGAGCAAAUCCCUCCUCCACAGCUUGUCUUAACACAGUUUAGAUGCUGUGCUCCAGUCUUGAGAGCGAGCCUAACAUGUUCUGACUCUGAGGCAAAUGUGCCACCAUUGACACAGAUGUAGACAAUUUUGGAUUAAUUAAGGGAAUACAUGAACUUUGGUAUUUAAUCAGGUCUUUGAAAACAAUUUAAAAAAUCUAAUGGAUAUUGGGCAUCACUGGAAGAUAUAUAGGAUAUUAAAACAAGGACACACUGCUGUGCUAAUUAGGCAUUAUAUGCAGAAUCAUGCUCAUUGUUAUCAAAAUGGCUCUAAUGAACGACCUUAACAAUCAUGACAGGCUGGAUAAAGCUGGUAUGCUGUCUAAGUACAAAGAGGUUAUAGAGUCACAAAGUAGUAGAGUACAGAAACAGACCCUUUGGUUCAACUCGUCCAUGCCGACCAGAUAUCCCAACCCAAUCUAGUCCCACCUGC
This is a non-coding RNA of Chiloscyllium plagiosum (whitespotted bambooshark), 1929 nucleotides long. NCBI's taxonomy places the organism in Eukaryota, Metazoa, Chordata, Chondrichthyes, Orectolobiformes, Hemiscylliidae. The record is from RefSeq and is a predicted model, not a curated record.